Long non-coding RNA from Drosophila navojoa, 538 nucleotides. NCBI's taxonomy places the organism in Eukaryota, Metazoa, Arthropoda, Insecta, Diptera, Drosophilidae. The record is from RefSeq and is a predicted model, not a curated record.
AACUGAGUCAUUUAUAAAAAUUUAAUGGUGGUGUACGGUUCGUUCAGCUCGCAACGCGUCGCAACGUUUCGAUUUGUUGGUCAGUGAAAAAUUUCAGCAAAUAAGGAAAUUGUAUUGUGCAUAGCCUAUUGUCGCCGCGCGUCGUGCAUUACACUGUAACAAGGAAAAAAUACAAGCAACAAAUUUUCAAAUAAAAACCAACAAAAAACAAAAAUAAAACCAAAUAUAAGCGCGUCGCGUCUAAAAUUGCAAAUUGCUAAUUGCAAUACAAAGUCUGAAACGUGAAGCCGAAAAGCAGAGAAGAGAGCAGUGUACAAAAAAAAAACAGCAAUUGAAAGAAGCGGCAAAAACACACAAAACAUACAUAAAAUACAACAAAAGCAACAAUAAUAAAAGAAACAACAGCUACAACAACACUCAACAUCAACUACAGCUAUAAUUGAGAAAAAACGUAUGUUUUCUAUGCAUUGAUCUUUGUUUCCUGAAGAAGCUAACAGCAAUUAGUGAUGUGUUGCACAAAGUAAAUACAAACGCGAAG